UGUGUGUUCCAGGUAAAUCCGGUUCACUUUAACACUGAGGCGUGAUGACGAGGCACUACGGUGCUGAAGCAACAAAUGCCCUGCUUCCAGGAAAAGCCUCUAAGCAUCAGGUAACAUCAAAUCGUACCCCAAACCGACACAGGUGGUCAGGUAGAGAAUACCAAGGCGCUUGAGAGAACUCGGGUGAAGGAACUAGGCAAAAUGGUGCCGUAACUUCGGGAGAAGGCACGCUGACAUGUAGGUGAAGUGAUUUACUCAUGGAGCUGAAGUCAGUCGAAGAUACCAGCUGGCUGCAACUGUUUAUUAAAAACACAGCACUGUGCAAACACGAAAGUGGACGUAUACGGUGUGACGCCUGCCCGGUGCCGGAAGGUUAAUUGAUGGGGUCAGCGCAAGCGAAGCUCCUGAUCGAAGCCCCGGUAAACGGCGGCCGUAACUAUAACGGUCCUAAGGUAGCGAAAUUCCUUGUCGGGUAAGUUCCGACCUGCACGAAUGGCGUAAUGAUGGCCAGGCUGUCUCCACCCGAGACUCAGUGAAAUUGAACUCGCUGUGAAGAUGCAGUGUACCCGCGGCAAGACGGAAAGACCCCGUGAACCUUUACUAUAGCUUGACACUGAACAUUGAGCCUUGAUGUGUAGGAUAGGUGGGAGGCUUUGAAGCGUGGACGCCAGUCUGCGUGGAGCCGACCUUGAAAUACCACCCUUUAAUGUUUGAUGUUCUAACGUGGACCCGUGAUCCGGGUUGCGGACAGUGUCUGGUGGGUAGUUUGACUGGGGCGGUCUCCUCCUAAAGAGUAACGGAGGAGCACGAAGGUUGGCUAAUCCUGGUCGGACAUCAGGAGGUUAGUGCAAUGGCAUAAGCCAGCUUGACUGCGAGCGUGACGGCGCGAGCAGGUGCGAAAGCAGGUCAUAGUGAUCCGGUGGUUCUGAAUGGAAGGGCCAUCGCUCAACGGAUAAAAGGUACUCCGGGGAUAACAGGCUGAUACCGCCCAAGAGUUCAUAUCGACGGCGGUGUUUGGCACCUCGAUGUCGGCUCAUCACAUCCUGGGGCUGAAGUAGGUCCCAAGGGUAUGGCUGUUCGCCAUUUAAAGUGGUACGCGAGCUGGGUUUAGAACGUCGUGAGACAGUUCGGUCCCUAUCUGCCGUGGGCGCUGGAGAACUGAGGGGGGCUGCUCCUAGUACGAGAGGACCGGAGUGGACGCAUCACUGGUGUUCGGGUUGUCAUGCCAAUGGCACUGCCCGGUAGCUAAAUGCGGAAGAGAUAAGUGCUGAAAGCAUCUAAGCACGAAACUUGCCCCGAGAUGAGUUCUCCCUGAGACUUAGAGUCUCCUGAAGGAACGUUGAAGACGACGACGUUGAUAGGCCGGGUGUGUAAGCGCAGCGAUGCGUUGAGCUAACCGGUACUAAUGAACCGUGAGGCUUAACCUUACA
Molecule: ribosomal RNA, 1430 nt
Filed under: Salmonella enterica subsp. enterica
Lineage: Bacteria; Pseudomonadati; Pseudomonadota; Gammaproteobacteria; Enterobacterales; Enterobacteriaceae
Description: partial 23S ribosomal RNA
Rfam family: Bacterial large subunit ribosomal RNA
Source: RNAcentral